CCUACUAGUGUUUAUUGCUAUUUGUGUAAUUCACAAGGAUUGUGCUUUCCCAGUAUCUAUUAUGGACCAUUGGAUGGAAUAGAUGGUCGGGAUUUAAACUUAAUAGAUAUUUUGUUGCCUUGGCUUGUUAAAGAAGUUUUGGAUCAUUUACCAAACAUAUGACUUACCCCACGUUUUUUGUAAGAGAGGGUAGUGUCUUUAGGUGGUGGGGGGUUAUUUCAAAAGGAGGAUGAUCUUUAUUUUCUCUCUGCUCGAUAGAAAACUCUCCUCCAUUUUUGAUUCCUUAAGGUGGCGGUCUGAAGGGGUUCUUUGCCGAUUUUCUCUCUCUCUCUUGGAAGGUGAUUUGCAAGUCUUGGAGGGCUGUUCCUGAGCCUGUAAAAUCAGCCAUAAGGAGGAAAAGAAGCUGCUGAAAGGAGGAAGCAGAAGCUGUCCAAAUUCGGCCAUAUGGGUUGUGUUAUUUCCGGUUUCGUAUUUUCUUGGUUUUGCCUUAGAAUUUCUUCUAUUGAUUGAUGUUUUGGUUGAUUGAACUCCUAGGAUCCCCAACAAACUGGUAUCAGAGCUAGGAGGAGUGAAAUCUGUCCAAAAAUCCAUCAAAACCGGCAAGGAAAUCGCUACUCCAUUUUCUGACCGAAUCUGAAAAAUUCAUAUUCCGGCCAAACUAUUGACUUUCCGGUGAAAUGGAACCUGGACCCAUAACCAGCAGACUGAGGCACUCC
RNAcentral lists this long non-coding RNA (716 nucleotides) under Olea europaea subsp. europaea. Lineage: Eukaryota; Viridiplantae; Streptophyta; Magnoliopsida; Lamiales; Oleaceae. The record is from RNAcentral.